RNAcentral lists this ribosomal RNA (1003 nucleotides) under Gammarus sobaegensis. RNAcentral describes it as "partial large subunit ribosomal RNA". It matches the Rfam family "Eukaryotic large subunit ribosomal RNA", at positions 122 to 776 of the family's 3401-position model. The record is from RNAcentral. Lineage: Eukaryota; Metazoa; Arthropoda; Malacostraca; Amphipoda; Gammaridae.
UCGUAGUCAAACCCCACAGCCACGCGAACUCUAAGUCAGCCACGAAUAGGCUAUCCCAACUAACGGCGGGAAAGACUCCACGGAGGGUGUAAGACCCGUGUGGGCGCGUGUUAAAGCUGUGCGGGUUCGGCCUCUUUUCCCUGAGAGUCGCGUUGCUUGAGCAUGCAGCGCUAAGCAGGUCGUAAACUCGAUCUAAGGCUAAAUAUAUCCACAGACCCGAUAGCGAACAAGUACCGUGAGGGAAAGUUGAAAAGCACUCUGGAGAGAGAGUCAAAAGACCGUGAAACCGCUCAGAGUAUAAGCCCAUGGCAGCUUGGAAGGCAUAUCGCUAGCGGGGCAUCGGUCUCCCUUCACGGGGAGCUGGUGUUACCUUGCUUCUGUUGUGGCUCGUCACGGUAGGGGGGUCAAGUCCACAUCCCGCCGACGUGUGGAGAGUUCUCGGGUGCGUUGGGUUAUGCGGAGUUGGUUUCGGCCGCGCCGUUUUAGCUCUUCGUGCUUGGUUCUCUUUCAACACGGACGUUCAGACUCAGAGGCAAGACGCGAUAAACAGCCCACCACGGCACGUUGUGAGGUCACCCACAGGCUCAACUUUUGAUUGUGGUCCUUGACGCCGAGCAAGCACAAUGCGUGUCGCAAAUGUUCCUAACCAGGGCGUGGUACCCCCGGACGGUGGAACGACACGCGCUCACGAGAGUCAGGAUCGGGCAAUGACAGAGUUCUGGUUUGAUCCUCAUGCGACGAGCCGGCUUCUGGCCAAAUUCCGAUGUUCGGGUCUCCCGCAUGUGCCGCGGGAGACCCAUUCGACGGUCUGGAGCUCAGCUCUCCUCUCAGUCGGGCAUCGGAAAGAGUGGUGUAAAGUCCAAGCCCAUCGGUCACGUCUCGAAACACGGGCCAAGGAGUAUAGCAUGUGUGCAAGUCUAAGAGUCUCCCAAAACUCGAAGGCGAAGUGAAAGCAAGUUGUGGCGGGUGAUCGUCCCAGUGAUCCCGUCAGCUAGAGGGUCCC